RNAcentral lists this ribosomal RNA (378 nucleotides) under uncultured bacterium. RNAcentral's name for it is "bacterial SSU rRNA". It matches the Rfam family "Bacterial small subunit ribosomal RNA", at positions 28 to 412 of the family's 1533-position model. The record is from RNAcentral.
GAUGAACGCUAGCGGCAGGCCUAAUACAUGCAAGUCGAGGGGUAUAGUAGCAAUACUGGAGACCGGCGCACGGGUGCGUAACGCGUAUGAAAGGUGUCCGAAUCACUGGGAUAGCCCCCGGAAACGGGGAUUAAUACCGGAUGGUCUGAUAUGGUGGCAUCAUCAAAUCAGUAAAGCUCAGGCGGAUUCGGGUCCUCAUGCGUAUGAUUAGCUAGUUGGCGGGGUAACGGCCCACCAAGGCGACGAUCAUUAGGGGUCCUGAGAGGGGGUCCCCGACACUGGUACUGAGACACGGGCCAGACUCCUACGGGAGGCAGCAGUAGGGAAUAUUGGGCAAUGGAGGCAACUCUGACCCAGCCAUGCCGCGUGCAGGAAGAA